CUUAAAUAAAAUUUAUUAUACCUGCUCAAUGAAAUUUUAAAUAGCCAUUUUGCUAAGGUAGCAUAAUAAUUUGUUUUUUAAUUGAAAAAUAGUAUGAAUGGUUUUAUAAAAUAAAAGCUAUAAAAAAUUAAUAUUAAAAUUUUUAUUUUUAGUGAAAAUACUAAAAAACUAUUAUUAGACAAAAAGACCCUAUGAAACUGUAAAUAAAAAAUUAUAUUAUAUUUAAUAAAAUAAAUUUAUUUUUUGGGGUAAAAAAUAAUUAUUUUAUUUUAUUUUUAUUAAUAUUAUCCUUUUUGAAUUAAAAUAAAGUUCCUCUAGGGAUAACAGCAUAAUAAUUAUAAAAGUUYGUAUUAAAAUAAUUGUUUAUGACCUCGAUGUUGAAUUAAGAAUUUUAUUAGGUGUAGAAGUUUAAUAAUUUAGUCUGUUCGACUAUUUAAUC
RNAcentral lists this ribosomal RNA (439 nucleotides) under Euchirella rostrata. Its description in RNAcentral is "partial 16S ribosomal RNA". Lineage: Eukaryota; Metazoa; Arthropoda; Copepoda; Calanoida; Aetideidae. The record is from RNAcentral.